RNAcentral lists this long non-coding RNA (1425 nucleotides) under Equus asinus (donkey). RNAcentral's name for it is "lncRNA (ENSEASG00005025486.1)". The record is from RNAcentral. Lineage: Eukaryota; Metazoa; Chordata; Mammalia; Perissodactyla; Equidae.
CUCUUUGGCUCGCCCUCCUUCCGCCCGGCGGGUGCGGGCGCUUUCUGCCGUCUGUGCGCCUGCUUCGUGGGGUGAGCCCUAAUGGCCUCACACCCGUCUGAUAUAGGAAAUUGAAAGGCGAGAAAGUCUAGCCCUGGUUAGGAAGUCCUAUCCAUCUGUAUUACCCUGGCUUUAGGGGAAUCUGAGACCCAGAGAGGUUGAGAAACGAAUCAAGAUCAUACAGCUGAUAAGGGACUGAGCCAGGAUUGGAACCCAACUGUUUUGUAACUCCAGAUCUUAGAACUUUCAGCCACUGACCAGACACUCUCAAUUACAGUGAAGAAACAGGGUAGCUGAGUCAGGGAAACAAGGAAGUACAAAGAUGGCAAGAACAGACUUGGCGUUUGGGAUUGGCUAGUGUCCUCUGCUGACUUCUGAGAAGAGCUGUAAAUUCCUGCAACUUAUGUUAGGUACCCAGGUGGUUGAAAAGGACACAGUAUCUUUGUAGAAGAAACUUCUAAAGCUGCUCCAGUUAACAAUAAAGAAGAAAUGAUGGAAUCAAAAUAUCACCACUCUGCAAGUCCUAACAAAUCAAUGGAUAUAGGACUGCUGAACAGCAAAGGGAGAUCAGACAUCCUGUGCCACCUUCUAUUAGGAGUAUUUUCCAGAAAAUUGAACCUAAGUCUGAUCAAACUUCUAGAUCUAACCACCAAUAUACAGAAGCUACAGCGGACAGAGGAAUACAUUAAAUGACACCACAGAGGUACAAUUAUUAAAAUUCAGGCUAGGAAAUGCUACUGGACAAACAACCCAUUUCCUUCAAUAAUUAUAAGAGAAAAGUGUGACAGAGGGGGAGUCUAUGAUUAAGAAAGGUCUAAAGACCUAUCACCACCAACUGCAAUUUAUGGCCUUAUUUUGAUCCUGAGUCUAACAAAUAAACUAAAUAAUCAUGAGACAAUUGGGGAAUUUUCAACAGUGACUAUACAUUUAAUUAUAUCAAGAAAUUGUUGUUAAUUUUUAAGAUAUGAUAUUGGUAUUUCCUUUGUAAAGAAAUAAAUACUGAAAUUCUUACAGAUAAAAAAAUAACAAUCCUUCCCCUAAAUAAAUACAACACAAUUCCAUUUAUUACUCAACAGUUUUCUUUUUGGGGGGUGGAGGGAGUUGGGUAAAAUUAUUUUAAAAGCCAUAUGGAACUAUAAAAUGCCAGAAUAACAAAGAAAAGUAUGAAGAAGAUAAAUAAUGAGAGACAUACCUUCAACUGAAAGCCACUGUAAUAAAAAUCACUGUAAUACAACCAACGUGGUAUUGGCACAAGAGUAGACAAAUCAGUGGAACAGAAGAGCGGAUCCAAAAAUAGAUCUCAGUAUACAUCAUAAUUUAAUAUGUGACAAAGGUAGUGUUUCAAUUCUGUGGGAAAGAAUGGUUUGUUUAAUAAAUAGUGCUGGC